UACGGGGGGGGCAAGCGUUGUUCGGAAUUACUGGGCGUAAAGGGCGCGUAGGCGGCCUGCUAAGUCGGACGUGAAAUCCCCCGGCUCAACCGGGGAACUGCGUCCGAUACUGGUGGGCUCGAAUCCGGGAGAGGGAUGUGGAAUUCCAGGUGUAGCGGUGAAAUGCGUAGAUAUCUGGAGGAACACCGGUGGCGAAGGCGGCAUCCUGGACCGGUAUUGACGCUGAGGCGCGAAAGCCAGGGGAGCAAACGGG
RNAcentral lists this ribosomal RNA (253 nucleotides) under uncultured bacterium. RNAcentral's name for it is "partial 16S ribosomal RNA". It matches the Rfam family "Bacterial small subunit ribosomal RNA", at positions 524 to 776 of the family's 1533-position model. The record is from RNAcentral.